This 72-nucleotide transfer RNA is filed under the name Chloroflexota bacterium. Its description in RNAcentral is "tRNA-Thr". It matches the Rfam family "tRNA". From Rfam's summary of the family: Transfer RNA (tRNA) molecules are approximately 80 nucleotides in length. Their secondary structure includes four short double-helical elements and three loops (D, anti-codon, and T loops). Further hydrogen bonds mediate the characteristic L-shaped molecular structure. tRNAs have two regions of fundamental functional importance: the anti-codon, which is responsible for specific mRNA codon recognition, and the 3' end, to which the tRNAs corresponding amino acid is attached (by aminoacyl-tRNA synthetases). tRNAs cope with the degeneracy of the genetic code in two manners: having more than one tRNA (with a specific anti-codon) for a particular amino acid; and 'wobble' base-pairing, i.e. permitting non-standard base-pairing at the 3rd anti-codon position. The record is from RNAcentral. Lineage: Bacteria; Bacillati; Chloroflexota.
GCCGACGUAGCUCAAAGGCAGAGCAGCGGUUUUGUAAACCGCAGGUUGUCGGUUCGAGUCCGACCGUCGGCU